This 322-nucleotide ribosomal RNA is filed under the name uncultured bacterium. RNAcentral's name for it is "bacterial SSU rRNA". It matches the Rfam family "Bacterial small subunit ribosomal RNA", at positions 29 to 372 of the family's 1533-position model. The record is from RNAcentral.
AACGAACGCUGGCGGCAGGCCUAACACAUGCAAGUCGAACGCGUCCUUCGGGACGAGUGGCAGACGGGUGAGUAACGCGUGGGAACGUACCCCUUCGGUUCGGGAACAACAGCGGGAAACUGCUGCUAAUACCGGAUAAGCCCUUCGGGGGAAAGGAUUUAUUCGCCAGAGGAUCGGCCCGCGUUAGAUUAGCUUGUUGGUGAGGUAAUGGCUCACCAAGGCUACGAUCUAUAGCUGGUCUGAGAGGAUGAUCAGCCACACUGGGACUGAGACACGGCCCACGACUCCUACGGGAGGCAGCAGUGGGGAAGUAUUGGACAAU